This 335-nucleotide long non-coding RNA is filed under the name Gossypium barbadense (sea-island cotton). RNAcentral's name for it is "long non-coding RNA (GBAR_LNC001583)". The record is from RNAcentral. Lineage: Eukaryota; Viridiplantae; Streptophyta; Magnoliopsida; Malvales; Malvaceae.
AGGUAUGCACCGUAUAUACAUUGAAAUUAAGUUAAGAUUGACUAUGAGCAUGUAAGUAUAUGGGUUGAAGUGUGAAGUAACAUAAGUAUGUGAUUUUUGCGUAUUUGCAUUUAUUUAGCCUUGUAAUCGAAUUAGAUGUAUUUGGCAUAAUUAUGAUGUUAGUUGGGUAAAAAGAGAUUAUCUACAUGAUACGAAUUCGUGUUUAAGGAAAAAUUUAAGAUGACAUGUAUGAACAAUAGGGGUAUAUUUAAUCAUGACUACAUUUAGUCAGAAAGAUGAUGAGCCUUAUGAAUGCUAUGCUUUAGUUAUAAAUGAUUUCAUUACUUAAGACUUAC